This 497-nucleotide ribosomal RNA is filed under the name uncultured bacterium. RNAcentral describes it as "partial 16S ribosomal RNA". It matches the Rfam family "Bacterial small subunit ribosomal RNA", at positions 28 to 507 of the family's 1533-position model. The record is from RNAcentral.
GAUGAACGCUGGCGGCGUGCCUAACACAUGCAAGUCGAGCGGACGGACGGGAAUCGUGCCUCUCUGAUGUUAGCGACGGACGGGUGAGUCACACGUGGAUACCCUACCUAUAAGACUGGGGUAACUUCGGGAGACCGGAUCUAAUACCGGAUAAUAUUUUGAACCGCAUGGAUCAACAGAGAAAGACGGUCUUGCUGUCACUUAUAGAUGGAUCCCGGCUGGAUUAGCUAGUUGGUAAGGUAACGGCUUACCAAGGCUACGAUGCGUAACCGACCUGAGAGGGUGAUCAGGCACACUGGAACUGAGACACGGGCCCGACUCCCAAGGGAGGCAGCAGUGGGGAAUAUUGGACAAUGGGGGAAAGCCUGAUCCAGCCAUGCCGCGUGUGUGAAGAAGGUCUUCGGAUUGGAAAACACUUUUAGUUGGGAGGAAAGGCAGUAAGUUAAUACCUUGCUGUUUUGACGGUACCAAAAGAAUAAGCCCCGGCUAACUUCGUG